UGCAAGGAGUUACUGGGAAAGUUUGCUGCAGGGUAGGUGCAACCUGAGUGCUGAGGAUGAUAUUCAGUCAGAUUUUUUUGUAGUUAACCAUCCUGACAGCUCUCUGAGAAACGCAAACCUCUCUUUAAAGAUGAGGAGUGUUGGGAAGAGAAGGUUCAAGAACUCUGCCCCGGUGACAAGCUGGGUUUCACACGCAGGACCCACAAAGACAAGGCACUGAAUCCAAGGAAGAAAGGCAUGUGGGGUUUUAAGAAGUUGGUUCACCAUCUGGAACUCAAUAGCAUUCAGAUACCAGCACUCUGCUCCGGCGAUUCUCAUCAUUCAGACAGUUCAUUCUAGGGUGGUAAAUACAUCGAAAUACCUUCAAUGUAUAUGAAACACAAAUUGCCAAAGUUCCAAAUAUGCUAUUUCUGUGACCUAAACUAUUUGGUUACUAGUACUUUGAAAACCAAAGGAUAUAGAUGUGAAUCACCAAGAUCUUUUAGAACCAGGACUCUGCUGCUGUGAGACUGUUCGAGGCACUGUAAAAAAGAAAAAAAGGAUGCCGUUGCCCCAAGGUGCAAUGUAAGAGCACAGCUACUGAAAUACAUGAGAGAAGAGUCUGGAACUGCUCUUUGCAGCCACACCAGAGGCCAAGAAAAGGCUGCAAUACACCAUUCACCAGAAGAGGAUAAAGGACACAUUUGGCCAUUUUUUCCAAGAAAGGCCAUUUUUUUCUCUCUGUAUCUUCAGUAAAGCAGCAGAUUUGGAAUUAUUAAAGGCUCAGUCUGGGAAGUACCA
Molecule: long non-coding RNA, 780 nt
Organism: Suricata suricatta (meerkat)
Lineage: Eukaryota; Metazoa; Chordata; Mammalia; Carnivora; Herpestidae
Exons: 4
Source: RefSeq, a predicted model, not a curated record